Molecule: small RNA, 172 nt
Filed under: Xanthomonas campestris pv. campestris
Lineage: Bacteria; Pseudomonadati; Pseudomonadota; Gammaproteobacteria; Lysobacterales; Lysobacteraceae
Description: ncRNA of unknown function
Source: RNAcentral
GGAGUUUCCUUCUGCACCCGACACUAACGUCGAGCAGAUGGCUGUCAAUACCCAUGUCGAAAACACUAUUUUUGAUGCAGUUUGUUUUGUUGCGCUAAAUUUAAAAUCCCCAGCAGUGUAAGGAGCCGCGAACAAUGUUAUAUAAGUGGGUUAGAUUUGUUGCGCUGUUCAA